RNAcentral lists this long non-coding RNA (31328 nucleotides) under Triticum aestivum (bread wheat). Its description in RNAcentral is "long non-coding RNA (TAES_LNC019793)". Lineage: Eukaryota; Viridiplantae; Streptophyta; Magnoliopsida; Poales; Poaceae. The record is from RNAcentral.
CGGCGGUGGUGGCCAAGUACGGGGAGAAGAGCGUCUACUUCGACCUGGACGACAUCGCCAACACGACGGGGCAGUGGGACCUGUACGGCAGCGACGCGGCGUCGCCCUACAACGGCCUGCAGAGCAAGUUCUUCAACACCUUCGCCGCGCCCUUCACCAAGCGGGGGCUGCUGCUCAAGGUGCUGCUGCUCGGCGGCGGCUCGCUGCUCGCCUACGUCAGCGCCACCGCCUCCCCCGACCUGCUCCCCAUCAAGAAGGGGCCCCAGCUGCCGCCCACCCCGGGACCACGCGGCAAGAUCUAAAUCCCAUCCUUCUUCUUCCCUCGUCUCGCCUCGUGCUUGUGUACCAUGGAUCUCAUCUGAUCUGAUGGAUCUCCCCUAUCUAUGUGUUCUGUUGAUACUUGAUCGUUGUACUUCGUAUCAGUAAUUGGAAAGAUGCUGCGUGCAUGGUGCAUGCAAUUACUAGAUCAUUUGCUCUUCGAUGAUUGCUACGUACUGGUUUUUGUACCAUGUUUUUGCUGUACUGGCUGUUUAAAUUACUUGUCUAGAGGGUACAGUGCCGAUCCAUAGUUCUUCCCCUUUGGUUUAUGUCACUCUAGCCAAUACGUAUUGUCCGGCCGGCCUACUCAUGGCCCUACGUGCACAGCUGCACACGUACAUACUCCCCCGUCCGCCCGGAACUGCUAUCCAUUUCUGCGACAAAUAAUUCAGAACAGAGGAAUUAUUUACUAACGGUUGUUGCUGCUGCCAGCGGGAAAUUAGAUCUUACCCCACUUGUUUCGUUAAUGUCUACUCCCUCCGUUUCAAAAUAGAUGACCCAACUUUGUACUAACUUUGUACUAAAGUUAGUAUAAAGUUGAGUCAUCUAUUUUGGAACGGAUGGAGUAAUACAUACCAUCAAUCAUACAUUGCUUCGUCGAUUUAUGCAAAAAUCCAACUGACAUUAUAACACUGGGAAGGCUACGCUUAACAAACAUUGCAUGGAAACACAGGGUCUGGAAGAGGUCAAGGUUAACUAGUAUACAAGUGGGCUAGAGAACUACUACAUGUCCAUUUUUCAGGCUCAGUGUGAAAAAUCUCAUGAUUAUUUACAUCAUGUAGAACAGGGGGUCCACACUUCAGCAGCACAUCAUCUUGGCCUCCAUACCAAAUUUCCAUUGGGGGUCGAACACAAUGGAGAUACAGACAGGUGUCCCAAAGCUUACAUAAACCUCACAAGUCACAGUGCACCUUGAUCACAAUGCUCUGAACACAUAUUUACAUGCAUUUUGGUCCGAAUGAUCUGGCACAUAUGUCUUCCCCCACCCCAUGCACCUCCUCGCCACCCCCGCAACCCCCUACGGCAGCGCGCCACUAGUGUCUAGAUAUGGGGCUGCGUGCUCCGCCCAGGUUCUCAAGCUUGUCCAGGUAGGAGUACCUCUUGGUGCCGAUCUUCGAGACCUUGCUCAGCUUCUUGCCCUGGGGAUCCUGUGAUUCUAGUAUCAUGGUCUCGAUGGUGCCAUCCCGAGGCCCCACGUAGUCGAACAAUGUCGAGUUAACCGGCUCCAUUCUUCCCAGCCUCCCCAUCUCGUCCUUGGCGUCUUGGACCACCGUGUCCGUGUCAUCGGAUGUCAAGCUCGGCAUCCGCAACGAGUCCCCUUGCUUGGGGUCUUGGGUGAGGGAGUCGGCAUGGAGAACGUCCUCGAUGCGGGACAUGACGGUGUAGGCUAGGCUCUCGAGCGUCCUUGAGUAGCUCUCCAGAAUGGCACUCCCAACAUCCUGCAAAAACAACACGGAAACACAAAUGUAUGUAGUUGGCAUUAUAGUAAUGAAAAGGUAGUGUAGCAAUUCCGAAAACAAAGUGAAAAUUGUGGGUACCCUGUUGUAUUGGAUUUUGCUGAUGUCCAGAGCUGAUUGGGAAAUCCCUGGAAACCUGUGCUUGAGGAGGAGAAGAACGUUCUCCGCCCUCCCCUCGAACCGGCCCCGCUUCUCGUGGCUGACGCCAUGGCCCCACUUGCCGUCCCGCUGCAUUUUCUUUUGCCAAAUGACGACCGACGCUUCAAUCCGGUUCUUCAGAUCAACAAUGUUGUACUCAUUUGACAGGUCAACCGUUGCUAUGAGUUCUUCGGGGUUGAAAUAAUCGUCGGUUAUAAGCUUGUACAUCGAGUCCCCGAGGGUGGAUUUCCCAUUCUACCAAUCAUAAGAAUAAGAGGAUCUUGUCAUGUGAGAUCUCAGUAAUGUAGUUAAGUAAGUUAGAUGUGAUUGUUGUAUAAUAACGUCCUUGUGUUCUUAUGGAUUACCUUAGGCAGAGUCUCCAUGUAAGCUUCUGGAACAUCCAUCUCCAUGAGAACAUUAGCAUUGAUGGCCAUUGUUGCCUUCAAGACUUGGUUGACGAGCUCCUUCUGGUGCUGAAGCCAUCUCCUCGUCGAGUCUGACAGACCCUCGGGAGGGACCUUGACCGUCGGGAGCCACCAUUUGUCACUCUGCUCCGCCGCGUCGCCCUUCUCAGAUUCAUUGUCAUUUUUCUUCACAUACCAAAACUCCUGCUUGUCGCCGAAACUAUCGAGAUAGUCCUGUUCGACAGCGGUAACAAAUUAGCAAUUCAGCUAUCUUCACAUCAAUCUCGUAAACAAUUCAGAGAAUGGUGUGGAAUUUUAUAUUACAAGGAGCAUUCCGUCAAGCUUGCGCAAUGCCGGGAUGUUCAUCAGCAGGUCUCUGCGUUGCUGAGUUAUCAUAACCUGCUUGUCAAAAAAGAAUAAAAACGUACUAUUGUAAUUAGUUGUAAUUCGAUUUGCAUAAUGAGGUUGCAUAGUACAGGCCCUAAGCAAGGCAAAAACAAAAGUGUGACCGCCUAAGGCUCCAAUAGGCACAACCCACAUUGUACUUCUUCACUAACCAUUCUUUGUAGUACCUCCAAAGCAACAUAAACAAUCAAGUUUUUUUCAAGAAGCAGGAAUACCCCCGGCCUCUGCAUCUCUUGAUGCAAACAGCCAUACAUAAACAAUCACGUGUAAUGAAAAUAGGGGUAGGGAUUUGUUUCUGACCUCCAUGGUGCUGCCAUCCUCGGCCACCUGGCGUGAAGGAACAAACUCGACGAUGAAAUCGGUGACAGAGAGAAGCCAGUCGAUCUCCUUUGUCCACCGAGCCUUCGGCUCAGGGGCCAUCGGUUGGAGACGCCGCUGCUCACCGAACACGGAAGCUGCAACAGCGUGCCACCACGAGAAAGAAUACAUAACCGGUAAGAUUUUCCACAAGAAACCAACCACGAAUUGAAAUGAUUUGAAAUCCAGAAAUCAUGCAUUUUAGUCGUGCAUGUACUCAUUGCGAGGUCUAAGAUUAUAUGGUGUACAAAAAGGUUGUUUUCUCAUCCGCAAAAAAAGAGAGGAUGUUUUCACCAAUUUCCACUAAAUUAUUUUGAGGAUUAAAAUCAUUUAAGCCAUUACUUUUGUUUGGAAUUUGUAGUGACAAGUACAGUAUAUACUAGGCCAGGUUAUGCACAUUGGGUGAUGUACUCUCAUUUAUUAGACCAAUUUUUUCACACACCAAAAAUUCCUUUAAUUUAGCUCGCACCAUCAGGGCCAGACGUGGAAACCAUUCACGAAAUGGAAAUGGAAAGAUUUGAUAUGAAAUUGAGUGAUUAGCUGCUCCUGCUAGAUUGGUGAUGGCACAAAAAUGGAAACAUUGGAAAGAAAAGGGAGUGAUUACCUGCAAGAUUGGUGAUGGCAUUGGACAGAGCAAGAGCCGAGGAGACUCCUUUGCCGCUGCCGGACAUGUCCUCCCCCAGCAGCAGCUUGGAGAACUUCUCCUUCACCAUGUCCAUGUCUGCAACCGAUCGACCACCACCGGAGCAAUUCAUUCGUCGAGCAAGGCCGCAUUGAUCGAUCACGCUAGCUAGAAAUCAACCGUGGUCACGCACGCACCUGAUGGCGGGCCCUCGGGCCGGGGCGCGGGCUUGGGGGGCGGCGCGGCCGACGUGGACGGCCUGGGCGCGUCGGACGGGCCGCCGGCGAGCGGCGCCGGGAUGAGGUCGACCGAAAGCUUGCCCCUGGACCCGCAGCUGCUCCGGGAGAGCAUCCUCCUGGCGCACGGCAGCGUCUGGGUCUUGGUCGACGGCUCCAUCGUCGGGCUUCCAGGGUCGAGGACCACGUCCUCCGACGACGCCGAGGACGAAACCGACGAGAGCGGCGACGAGGGCGUCGACGACGCCUUCCCGGACUUGCGCCGCCUGAAGGAGAACCUGGAGUCGCGGCCGUGCCCGGUCUUGAGGAACGGCGGCGCCAUCACGCGCUCAUCGCCGCCAGUCACCACCGCAUUACGCACGCACGUACGCCGACGCACGCGGGCCGGCCGAGGUCAGGCGGGCAGAGAGAGGGUGGGAGGGGAUGGAACGCCGGCCGUUCGUCCGUCCGUCCGUCCGUCCGACCUCGCGCCCCCGCGCGCGCGAGAGAGAUGGGAGGAGGGAUGUCCGGUGGCGCGCGUGGCUGGCUGGCUGGCUGGCUAGAUUCGGGGGAGGCGGUUUUGCGAGGGAGGCGAGGAGAGGAAAGGGGGGAGGCGAUGUCGCGGCGUGUGUGUGGGUGGGUGGAUGGCGCGAGCUGCAGGCGCCGCGGGAAAUGGGUCCGUUUUGUGUGUGUCGUCCAGCCCAGGUCGGCCACGCUCCCUCCCUCCAAACACGGGCAAUGGGAGUGGCUUAUCGUUGGAGAUGUUGUACCACGCUUCUAUUUUUAAUCUCACUCGGCCGUGCCUACUUUUCUCCAUCUCGCUUGGUGGUUAAUUAGCACGUGCUGCUCUUAGGAGUACAGCUUAACAGUACACUUGGGAUCGUCGGCAUCACGGUGAAUUAUAAUAACUCUGCCUCACAGUACAUGGGAUCGCAUCGCCUGCCAUACCCUUUUUCGUGCCCCUCAUUGAGCGCCGGAAGAUAACUUAGAGCAUCUCCAGCCGCGCCCUCAACAAGGUCUUCAGGCGAUUUUUUGGCCUCCGGCGUCGAAAAAUCGGCCCAGUCGCGUCCUCAAAGACCUUUUUUCGCCGGCUUGGGCUGAAAUUGGCGCCGGCGGACCCAGGCCGAACCCGGCGCGCUGGGGGGCGCAUGGGGCGCCGGCCGAAUCGUUUUUAGCGCGAAAAUCGGCGGGCCCUCGUUGGCAGCGACUCGGCUCUUCUCGUCGCUUCGUCGUCCUCACCGCCUCGGUUCCCGCGGGGGAAUCAAUGCCAAAGCUGCCGCGCCGGUCAGCCUCCUCCAUUGAUACCUCACGGGCGGCGCAGUGAAGACGGGGCGACGCGCGUCCAUCGCCCGCUACGCGUACACACGGCGGCCACGCGAGCGCCGCCUAUAUAAGCCGCCCCCUCCCGCACCGGUGAGCCACGCACAGACCUGACUCUCCACCGUCGACGCCCCCGUUCCUCCUUAUCUUCUCGCCGUUUCCAGUUCACCCAAUGGCCGAGCGCUACCCAGGCGAUGGCGCGGCGGCGAACGGCUUCGGCCGCCGCCACCUUCACGAGGACGAAGCCCGGCUUCUCUAUGAGGCCGAGUACCCGGUCCCGCCGGACAUGCGGGUGCCCGGGGCAUGGAGGAUAAGCGCCGGCGGGGUCCCGGUGCCACCGCCGCCCACCGGGGCGGCGCUCGUGCGGAGAUCGCCCGUAUCCGUGCCUCUCUGCCGCAGGCGGCGAGAGAAGGGCCGAGGUACACCCCCGACAGCACGCUGUGGGAGCCGUACUUCCGUCACCGCCACGCCGAGCAGCUCGAGGCCACCAACGGCGUCGUGCCCUCUGGGAGGCUCAAUGCCGACGGGCGCCGCCGAUGGUGGGGCGUGCUCGGCCACACGCUGGAGGCCGUCCUCGAGUACAUCGAGGGCGGCAACACGCCGAGGCUGGAGUACCCCGCUCCCCCCACCUUCUCCCGCCGGCGUGGGAGCUCGUGGACGCCGAGACGCAUGGACCCGUCGUCCUUCUCCUCGUCCGGCCCCUCGUCCAGCUCUCCCUCCCUCCUCCCCGUCGAGCCGGAGCCCCAAGACGCGCCGAUCAGCCGGCGUACCUGCAGCUGCGGCAUCCGCAUCGCCGAGUCCUCCCCACCUCUGCCCGGCUCGUCAGGCCGAAGGUGGAGUCCGACCUCCCCGCGGAGUACGAGGCCAUAGCCCGGCGCGACUUCUCCGACGAGGCCGCCCUGAAGUGGGCGCGGGACGACUACCUCCGCGACGAGAUGGUCCGAUAGCGCCGAGCCCUGCAGGAGAUAGCUGCCCGCCAGCGUGUGCGCGAGGACGAGAACGGCGUGGUGAUCCUCGAUAGCGACGAGGACGAGGAUGCCCCUGACCGUCCAACCCGCCGCGCGUCGGCAACCCUGGGCAGGGGAGCAGCAGGGACGAUGGCCGCGGAGGUGUUGACGACGACGACGGCGGCGGCGGCGGCGGUGACUACACGCAGUUCUACAGGCUCCUCGGCAUGUAGAGCUCCAGGGCGGCGGGCGGCGAGGAACGGCGAGGGCGACGGCGGGUCUAGUAGUGUUUUUUUUUCUUCUUUUGUAAAAUAUUUAUGAACUCGCCGAAGUUUGGUUGAAUUUGCGCCUUGUUUGUGCAAAUGUGGGGCCGGAUUUUGUUUUUCAAAAAAAUGUGGGCGCGGCGACUGGGGAGCAUCACGCCCCCAGCACGCUGUUAGCGCCGGUACGCCCCCAGGAGGCAAUUUUUAGCGCCUCCUGGGGGGCCAAUGACUGAAGAUGCUCUUAGACCUGAUUCAUCAGAUCAUAUGGCAAUGGUGUCAUGGCAUCGUUCCUCUUCAUGAAGGCGAUGUCUUAGGUUGCUCGUGUCGUCCCCAAUUUAAAAUUGGAGAUGUUGAACGUUGUGUUGCUUUGGGUUGCUUCUCAAGGCGUGGGCAUAGGAAGCGCAAUGUACGGCAUUGCAGAUGCUUCCUUUAUGGCUUCUUCCUCCAGCCCGGCCUGUCCUGCAAUGCACUUGCCCCGUGAGAGGGGAUCUGACCACGCCAGGAGCCACCAAAACCUAUCUCCAUCCAAUAGUGAUCUAGCUAGUGUCAGGGUGAACUCUUUGACAAUGCCUUCAAGAAAGAAAAGGACGCCCGUAGACGCCUUCACCGCUGAUACCUACCAUGUCGGCCAAAGCAGACGCCCAUAGCCCAGAGACACUCAACCUCGACGAGUAGCAUGGGAGGAACUCAAACACCGAAACACACGGAUGUUAGUGAUAGACCACACAAAGGCGGGUGGAAUCCCAAGCUUCUAUGUCACUACUUCAUCCCCAUGGAUGUACCGGCUGAAAGAACAUGCGGUGCCCCCAUGUUUGGUUUUGGUAAUUGAUGACAAUCUCUAUGGACUAAUGGUUGCCUUGAGUUAUAUUUGAAGGAUUUGUCCAUAGGCAUUUCUUGAAGUUCAUGUGUUGGUUUCAAGGAGUUUAUGUGGUGAUCAAGGUGUUAUUAAGGAAUUAUCCAAAGAUUGGUCAUGUGAGAGUUGAGCUUAUUGCAAGCAUGUCUUGGAGAAGAAGAUUGUGUGAUCAUUCAUGUAUAUCUUCAAGACAUCAUCCAAAAGAAGAGAGUUGAAAAGAUUCAAGGUUGAUCAAGACUAAGUCAAGAGUGAAUCAACUUGAUCAACUCACAAAGCGUAGAAGAUGUACCAAGAGGGAUCAAGCGAUCCCAUGGUGUGGUAAGCAUUGUCAAUUACGCUUUGUGUACUAACCCAUGAUCUUCGUGAGAGUUCUUUGUGGGGUUAGGUUGCGGUGUGCAAGUUCAAGUGAAGCAUCAUGAAAGAGAUCAAAUGCUUGGAGCUUGCCGUCCAUUGUGGUGACAAUGGACUUGUGAAGAUGUUGCGGUGUGCAAGUUCAAGUGAAGCAUCAUGAAAAGAUCAAAUGCUUGAAGGUUGCCGUUCAUUGUGGUGAUAAUGGACUUGUGAAGAUGUGUGAAAGAGUGGCUCACCCAUAGUGGAGUAUGGGGGAGCAAUCAACUAGUCUUCAUCGAGCCAACGCAACCAAGAAAGGUGGUCCAACUUGAGGGAGUCAAGAUCGUCAUCAUCUAGCUCAAGUGGACCAUGUGCAAGGCAAAGGUUUGCCCUUGAUAGGUUUUCUAUUUUACCGGUCUCGUGAUGGUAGUUGGGAGACCGGGUUAUAGGAUCGAUUGCCGUACUAUCAAGGGGGGCUCUUGAUGAGUAGCUUGAUCGUAUCAUUCGUAGAGAGCUCAAACCAUUGCAUCCUUGCAUCAUCUUUCUUGGUUCUUGUUUGCUUCUCUUUGUGAGUUUUGGAGCUUUUGGUCAUCUUGUUGACAAGCUCGAGUUCAUCGAAAACUGAGUUCACUUGCAUCUUCUAUGAUGUUUUCGAUGUUGGAGGUUAUCUCCGUUCUUCUCUGUUGGAGGUUUCACUCCUCCAUUUGUUAGGCAUACCUCCCCUGCCUCUUCGCUGUUUUGAUGCUACUCGUCUUCCUCUAUCCAACAAGCUUGAGUUUGCUCAAUUCGGAGCUCAUUUGCAGAAGUUAUGACAGUUUUGGUUUCCCGUGGAGUAUACUUGUUUUCGUGGUAGUGGCUUUAGGAUGGCGCCAGCGGUAGUACCGCUUAGGAGUCACAGGCGGCAGUACCGCUCCGCAACGGUAGUAUCGCCGGUGGGUCCUCAGCAGUAGUACCGCUGCGGUACCAGGCCCCUACCGCGUCGACUCGAGGGGUCAUUUUUCGUGUCGGAUUGUGUGGUACUCCGCAGCGACAGUAGAGCGGCAGUGCCGCUCAUGAGCAGUAGUACCGCCCUACCAUUGCGGCAGUACCGCUCGAGUCCGUAUCUCUCCUGCCCUCCUAACUCCACGGUAGUACCACCCGGGGGAGCGGUAGUACCGCUGCCUUAUGCGGUAGUACCGCCCUCUGCGGGGCUGUUUUGGGGGUAACGGUUGGAUUGUUCCCCCCACUAUAAAAGGGGGUCUUCUUCCCCAAUGAACCUUAUCCGUUGAGCUCGUGUUCUUCCCCCAUUGUUGACCUUCUUCGAGCUUGCUAACUCUCAAUCCCUCCAUGGAUUGUUGCUAGUUUUUGAGGGAAAAGAGAGAGGAGAUCUAGAUCCACAUUUCCACCAAUCACUUUCUCCUUUUUGUGAGGGGAACCCCUUGGAUCUAGAUCUUGGAGUUCUUGGUGUUCUCCUUCUUGUUCUUCCUCUCUUUUUCCUCCCUAGCAUUAGUUGCUUCGGUGGGAUUUGAGAGAGAAGGACUUGGCCACUCCGUGUGCCCUUGCCAUUGCAUUUGGCGCAUCGGUUUGAGUUCUCCACGGUGAUACGUGGAAGUUACAAGUUGAGAAGCUUAUUACUCUUGGGUGCUUGGUGCCCUUGAGCUUGUUCCUCUUGGGUGCUUGGGCGCCCUAGACGGUUGGUGGUGUUCGGAGCUCAAUCAUUGUGGUGUAAAGCUUCGGGCAAGCGUCGGGGUCUCCAAUUAGGUUGUGGAGAUUGCCCCGAGCAAUUUGACGGGUACCGGUGACCGCCCCAAGGGUUGCCAAAGUGUACGGGUUCGGUGACCGCCCCCAAGGGUUGCCAUUUGUACGGGUUCGGUGACCGCCCUCAAGGGUCCCUUAGUGGAAUCACGGCAUCUUGCAUUGUGCGAGGGCGUGAGGAGAUUACAGUGGCCCUAGUGGCUUCUUGGGGAGCAUUGUGCCUCCACACCGCUCCAAACGGAGAUUAGCAUCCGCAAGGGUGUGAACUUCAGGAUACAUCGUCGUCUCCGCGUGCCUCGGUUAUCUCUUACCCGAACCCUUUACUUAUGCACUUUACUUUGUGAUAGCCAUAUUGUUUCUUGUCAUAUAUCUCGCUAUCACCUAAGUAGUUUUUUCUUGCUUAGCAUAAGUUGUUGGUGCACAUAGGUGAGCCUAGUUGUUGUAGGUUUUGUGCUUGACAAAUUAACCGCUAGGUUUAUUCCUCAUUUGUUCAAGCCUCAACCGUAAUUAUUUUAAAGCGCCUAUUCACCCCCCCUCUAGGCGACAUCCUCUAUCUAUCACCGGCAAUCCUGUUAAUCAAGCCAUCGCCGCGGCGCCUCGUCGACGUCCUUGCUUGGACUCCGGACCCAAAAGUACACGCACAUCUACGUGCUCCACGAGAAGGGCACCGGACGCCACACGUGCUGUCUGGGAAGCAUUGUGGGGGUGCCCUGCCCCUCCUAAGGUAAGUGUCUUUGCAUGGCGUCUAGUCACUAACUCACUGGAUGCAAUGGCAAAUAGAGCAAAAAGGAAUAUGAGUGAGCAUUGGAAAAUGCAAAGACUAGAGGAGGUCAAAAAUUCUGGACUAGAAUGACUCUUGCACCUACCGCAACAUUGCAGUGAGAGGAGCGGCUCCCUAUCCUCAUGACACUGUUUAGGACCUGUCACAUACAUAAUGAAGCUACCCACCAUAAGCCAGCACCUCCAAUUGCUGCAUCCCGGAGAUUCUUAAAUAACUACAUCAACUCAUUAUUAUGCAUCAAACAACACCCAGAAGCUGGCAUAACACAAGAUCCAAGGGGAAUCACAGGAAAAUAUAAGAGAAAGCCACUCAAAGGACAGAAUACACAUACAUUACUCCUCAAAACCAAAAUAAUUUAAGGGGUGCAUCUUAGAUCCAAGAACAACAACGGAAAAAUAAAAGUAACAAGGGUAGUUCUUCCCCAGACUCUAGGAGAUAUGAAGGCCUUGAGACAUAGUUUUCUCCAAAUCUCAAAGAGAGGUGAAAACCUUGAAAUCCAUGUGGGUUCUUCUCCCUGAAGAGGUCUUCAUCCUAGGAGGAAGAUUGAUUGAGCAAAGCUCUCUCAAGUUUCUAUCUUAUGGUUUCCUAACCCUAGAGUCCAUGAGGGGAUGAGGUAUAUAUAGCCCUAGAUGUGAAGGGGUAAAAAGGGGCAAAAGGAGAAGAUACAUGGACACUGGACAAUGCCCAACUACUUGCACACAGGCAAGCCCGGGGGACGGGCACUACCAGGGAAAAGUGUAUGGUAGACGCUUACUAGUAGCGCGUGUUUAUACCCCUCGCUACUGCUACUUACCAGUAGCGCGGGAUUAUAUACCCCUCGCUACUACUAAGUUGACAGUAGUAGCGCGGUUUUAUAACCCUCGCUACUACUAAGUGGUGUCUAUCGUGCCCCCGGGACAUGCCAUAGUAGUAGCGAGGGGUAUAAACCCGCACUAUUACUAAGUUGAUAGUAGUACCGCGGGUUUACAUCCGUCGCUACUACUAAGUAUAUGGUUUUUGAAGAGCCCUGAAAUCCCCAUCUCCACCCCCAAAUCCUUCCUCUCCCCCGUCACUCUCCCCCUCUCUCUCCCUAGGCUCUCACAUGGACCUCCUACCCAUGAGCGCCUCCUCCUCCAUGGCGCCAAAAGAGGCCGCCGGCGUCCCAAAGCUCGCCGGUCUUCCCCGCAUCUCCAUGCCACCAGGCCAGAGCACCUCACCAUCGGCGACCAACCCCACUACUACCUCCAUCUCCUUCCUCUCUCCCUCGUUUUUCUUUUUCUCUCUCUCCCUCUGGUUUGACUCACCCUCGCAUGUCCUUGCCGGUGCAGGUCAUCGCCAUGGACGACCAGGAGCUCGCUGCCUUUCCUGCGAAGAGUAGCCCCACGCCGCCGCCCUACUCGGCCAUGGAUCCGGUCCCUUUGUAGAAGUCGUCGCUGGAUCUGGUCUGCCACUGCCCUUCCGCACCUCCGGCGACCCCUGCCAUCGCUGGUUCGAACAAUUGCUGGCAUUGACAGCAUGCACGGGAUAGAGAUUUUUGUUUUUGUUUUUGAAAUUUAUAGUAGUAGCACGGGUGGCAACCACGCUACUACUAACAGACGUAGUAGUAGCGCGGGUGCACCCGUGCUACUACUAUAAGUUAGCUGUAGCGCCGUAGUAGUAGCGCGGGCACCCGCGCUACUACUAGUUGUUUAACCCGCGCUACUACUAGGGUUUUUCCUAGUAGUGGGGGCAUGCCGGGGACGAGGGCAAGGGCCUCGUGAGCACGAGGGUAAGGGCCGUGUGAGCAUGGGGUUAAGGGCCCCGUGGGCACGAUGGAUCUAGAGAGAUGACGAUAGGACCCAGGGGCACGGGUCCGGACGCUCGCGGCAAUGGGGUAUCCAGAGAGCUUCUCAGAUGCUAGACUUCGCGCAGACGCCUGCUGAUGCUUUCGGAACCUGGCCUUGCUCUUCACGGUUUCAUCUUCGCUUCGAUGCUUCCCUCUUGGACAGUGUAGAAGUUCUCUUGUGCUUGACCUUCGAUGUGCCAUGUGUGAUGUUGGGCUUGAGGGCUCGAACCUAAAGGUACACAAGUUAGAAGUGUCAAGUAGUAUACCAUCCUUGAGAAGACCAAGUAUACACACAUAAUGAAUACAAUUCACCUUAAUGUAUGUGUUGUUGUAUGCCCCUUGUGGAUGGGUCCAAGGCCAUGCUGAUGACCCUAGGAUGCUUGACAACAGUUUUUCUGCAGCAAGUAAAAACACCAAAACAAGACCAUACACCUAAUAAAUCUAGGAAGUUGAUGUAAGCACACUAAACUGGAUCUUGGUUGUGCCAUAUGCACAAUAUAAGUGCUACACAAAGACAUGCCGACCAACGUUCCUCCUCUUUCCAUGCAAGUUUCUCGCAAUGGCAAAAUAAUGAAGUUACUAGCAGGUCAUUGCUUCCCUUAAGUAUUGGUUCCUUGACAGCAUCGAUCUACUGAUAAUGACAAUGAGCUGUCGGAAGAUAUCACCAGGUUCUUCCUACCUCUACAUCACCUGAUCCAGUGCCGACAAGGGCAUGUGAGGAGGGGUGUUACUAGACUGUUGGCUCUCUUAAAAUCUUGAAAAUUAGCGUGUUAAACAAGUGAAUCACUUCAAAUCUUGAGAAUUAGGGUGUUAAUCAAGUGAAGCAGUUGGCGGGCACUUGGUGCGGCGACUUGGAACCCUUUUUCCGACAUGGUCUGAUUCUCUAGCCCUCUCGGUUGAUGGUGAAGUAUUGCAAGCAUCUGCUCCGUAUCUCCAUGGGGUGAUGCCCCAACUGUUGUUUCUUGAGCGGUUCUUAGAUCUCGCGUCUAAUGACGAGUGCCUAGCGCGAGAGCUUUUACAAUUGUCUUUUUUAUUUACUUUUUUGACUGUCAGCUAAGUGCAAUUUUUGGCGUGCGCAUAUCAGGGAUAAUCCUACAUCCACUUAAAGCUACGAACCCCUCUUACGUAAAAUUCCGGGUGGGGCCCCUUCCUCUCCCUUCUCCAAUCAUAGUUAGUUAGACACAUAGCUGAUUACGUAAACCACGUAACAUCCUUUAAGUAGGUGUAGCAUUACUCGCGUAUCAGUAAGACAUGAGAUUCAACCAGUAGCCCACGUGAAAUCCUAACAGGAGACUUAAUCAGUAGCCCACGUUAUAGAUCCGGCGGUCCAUGAUAGGAGUUCUAAGUUUUCAUUGAGUCGUCCGCUUUCACGUGAUACAUUUUUACCUCCUACCAUACCACGAGAAGAGAAGAGAAGCAAAGGCUGACUUCUCAACGAAACCAACAUGCACACUUUCUUAGUCCAAAAAAGCAUGCAGAGUGUGUCUCUGCAUUUUAUUACUUGCCUCUCGGUCAACAGCACGCCCUGACACGGCCCAGCUACGACGAAACACUCACCGGGCGACAGCCGUCGAUCUACCGAUCUGGCGGACAAUCGUCGCGGCAACAAGAUUACAAGAGUGGAAAGCCUCCCUGUCCCAGUCAAACCAACUACACCUGGAAAAAAACCGGGCUGGACCUGCCGAGCGCCGAUGGUGACCGAUCUACCUAGCUGGACGUUACGAGCCGCCGGCGCCGACGCCGUCGUACUUGAGCCCGAACUCACGGAACCCGAUCUCCAUGUCCGCCGCGGCGACGAGCAGCUCGGCCGCCUGCGCCGGCUCGAGGAUCUCCACGGCGCGCUUCAUGGUGCGCAGCCGCAGCGCGUCCGCCCCGGCCAGCACGGCGCCGACGCGGCCGACGAGCCCGCCCACGUCCACCAGCUCCCCGCCGGCGCCCACCGCGCCGUGGCCCUCCUGCACCCGCGCCAUCUCGCGCGACAGCUCGUCCUCCUGCGCCACGGUGCGGCGCUGCAGCUCGUCGAUCUGCGCCAGCUGGGCCGGGCUGAGGUCGCCGAGGUUGCCCGACCGCACGCCGAGCAGGAGGUCCGGGAGCUGCGCCUCGAAGCGGCGACCGGACUCGGUGUAGAGCAGGUGGACCAGCGUGGUCGGCCGCCACCCGGCCAGCCAGUGCGCCGCGCCACGCUCCACGGGGCUCGCCCACGGCGCCGCCAGCGUCCACACCGGGUCCAGCUCCGCCCGCGCCGCGCAGUAGUCGGCGAAGUGGGACACGUAGCCGGCCACCAGCUUGGCGAGCUGCGCCGGGUCGUCGGCCCAGCGCGCCGUCCGGAGGUCGCGGCGCAGCGACCGCAGCCCGCGGAGCCAGAGUUGGAAGCGCCGCGUCGCCGCCUCCAGCUCCAUCGUCCGGUCCUCUCCCUUUUCUGGCCAGGCGGGGGUAGUACAGUACAGUGAUCUUGCCCGCGCGCGUGCCGGCGGUACUUAUAAAUGGCGGCGAGAUGAUCUGGGCCGUUGAGCCAGAGGAAGCGACGGCUGCGGGCGCGGGCCGCCGGGGCGUAUGAGGCCGCGACAGGUGACCCGCAUGCAGGAGGCCAUGUGUGGUGGCCGGGUGGCGAGGUGGCGAUGGACGGCGACGUCCGGCGUCACGCUCACGCCUAGAUGAGCCGCGGGACAAAGCGGCCGGAUGAGGCUGACAUGGGGCCCGGCGUGCCAGUGGACGCGUCGAUCUGCGCAUUACUUUGUCCCACUAUAUGUCGUUCGUACCUAACGAAUGCAUCAUGUGCGGUUGCCACCUUCGACAAAAUGUAAAACGAACGAUGUGUGGAAGGGAGAAGUUAGGAAAACGGUGCCUAAUUUUUUCCAGAUGAGAUAGUGUUUAGUUUUCUAAAAUGCAGUUUAUGGAAGCGACGAUGAGUCUACAAGGAAAUGGGAAGAAAAAAAGAAUAUGUGUUCGUAAUUAUGCAAUUGUCUGCGAUUUUUUGGGUAGGUCGGUCAAAUCACGCGUAGCCCUGAGUCCAAGACGGGGACGUCACGGCAUAGCAUCAUCGAUGAGGCGAGCUUGCACCAUGCCAGAAACGGGGACGAAGCGGCUGGUCUCGUCGUUACCGGUAGGUCUGGCGAAGGCGUCACUAGUUUGGAUGGGAGUAGGGGUUCUCGCCGAUUUUGGAGAAGAGGCGUGGGCGACGGCACCUCCGGCGGCGGGUGGUGGGAGCGGACGUUAUUUGCCAAUGUNNNNNNNNNNNNNNNNNNNNNNNNNNNNNNNNNNNNNNNNNNNNNNNNNNNNNNNNNNNNNNNNNNNNNNNNNNNNNNNNNNNNNNNNNNNNNNNNNNNNNNNNNNNNNNNNNNNNNNNNNNNNNNNNNNNNNNNNNNNNNNNNNNNNNNNNNNNNNNNNNNNNNNNNNNNNNNNNNNNNNNNNNNNNNNNNNNNNNNNNNNNNNNNNNNNNNNNNNNNNNNNNNNUCGUAGGAGGAGGGAGAAGGGCUCUCAGCUCUCGGAUCCCGAUCGAAAGGUGAAGAUUGGUUUGACUAAACACAAUGGUUUUAGGGGCAAGUCAACUACUUGUUGCUUUAGCGUGUUAACCUUCAAUCCGAUGAUUAAUUGGCUAUUGUAGCUGAAUAACACGAUAUAAUACGACUAUGGGAGAGACUAGUUAUCCAAAUAGCUUCCAUGGACUAAAUCACCCAUUUCCAACCAAAGGUACCAGCCCGACGAUGGAAAGAAUUGAUCACCUGAGGCUGGAGCAAACCCGUCAUCGAAGAUGAUCCCUUUUGCUGGAAGCGGGAGAGUUUCAAAAUUAAGGAUGUCAGUAAUAGUUUAGUGCCAUUUCGGGUGUCUAAGACAAUGUGGAUCGGUAGUCUGCUAAUUUUGAGGAGAGUUUGAGACGCCUAGCUGGGUCGGGUUUUUAUGACCGGGCCGUCCGCCUGGUUAGGAUGCUCAGUUGUAAAUCCUCUAAGGCCCGAACAACCCGUCAUCUAAGAGCAUCUACAACUGGACGCCUCAAACCAUCUAUCAUAUACACCGCGAACACAUCCGGUCAGUGACCGAACAGACGAGAAAAGGAAAAAGUGACCCAACUGGAACCCUCAUAUUUUUUCUAUAUGUCCGGGCAGUCCGCGAACCCUAAUAUCCAUCUUAAAUAUGGGGAGGAUAUAAGGGCUCGCGGACACGUCCGGUCAGUGACCGGACAAAAGAGAGAAGGAAAAAGUGACCCAACUGGACCCCUCAUAUCUUCCCUAUAUGUACGGGCAGUCCGGGAACCCUCAUAUCCAUCUCAAAUAUGGAAAGAAUNNNNNNNNNNNNNNNNNNNNNNNNNNNNNNNNNNNNNNNNNNNNNNNNNNNNNNNNNNNNNNNNNNNNNNNNNNNNNNNNNNNNNNNNNNNNNNNNNNNNNNNNNNNNNNNNNNNNNNNNNNNNNNNNNNNNNNNNNNNNNNNNNNNNNNNNNNNNNNNNNNNNNNNNNNNNNNNNNNNNNNNNNNNNNNNNNNNNNNNNNNNNNNNNNNNNNNNNNNNNNNNNNNNNNNNNNNNNNNNNNCUUUUUCUUUUUUUCUUUAUUCAUUCUUUUUUUCUUUCUCUUUGUCUCUACCAAUCACAUGCAAGUGACCAGACAUAUGAGAAAGGAAAUAAGGAUUGUGGUUGCACGGAUGGGUAAAUAAAAGCUUAAAAUGAACACGUCCGGUCACUGACCCAGCGCGUCCGCGGGCGUUUGAGGGGUCGAAUUAGAGAUGGAUGAAGAUGCUCUAAGAUUACCGGAAUGGCCAGACCCCUUUUGCUGGAUGCGGAAGUGUUUUAAAUUAAGGCUGGCAACAAUAGUUUAGUGCCAUUUGGGGUGUCAAGACAAUGAGGAUAGCGUCGUCUGAUAGUGUCCCCCGGAGCCGGAGGUUAGAUUUCGACUUUCCGCCAUCAAUAAUGGAGCAAUCUGUUGUCGGAUUCGGCGUGCGGCCUGACUUCAUCGACGACCUUUCAUCGCCGCGAAGCACAAGAGCAUUGCUCUGACUUUGCCACUUCCCUGUACUGCAUAAUGCAUAUAUAUAGCAAUGCUUGCAUAUCAUGAUUUCAGAUUUCAAAUCAAAAUUACUCAGAAUCUAUUAUUUGAAUCGGUCAGGAGCAAGAUUCAGUGGGCAGCUGCAGUCAGUCAAUUUAGCGAGGUCUGAAGAAUCUUGACGCGGCCGUUGUACACGGAGCGCCGCGCCAGGGUGUUGUCUGGUUUCGAGCGAUUGGGUUUCAGUUAGAAAAUGUACACCUCUGUCACGUCAGGGUCAAACCCGGCGACGUGGACAUGUGUCCUCGCCGACGUUUACGAGGAGGACCUGGGCGAAAAUAACCUUGUGACAGUGAGUUCGCUGUCACGUUACUCUCGCAGCUUCUGCCAUUCGUGGAUCAUUGCGUUGCUACCCGUCAGUUCGUCGGACAGAAUCGCACGCUGCUCACGCCUCUUGAGCCUUGACUCACACCUGACGCCCGCACAUUUCGGCGCUUCAACAGCAGAGGAGAGGAAAGCUUCGUAAACAGGACGGUGUACUCAAUAGGAGUAGCUGUUGAUCAGGUGCGUUGGCACAUGGAAUCACUCCGUCUCCGUGACAGAAUCCACGUCAGUUUCUAGAGGCAGAGCCGGUAGUCAGUUUCGCAGAGAAACAUUGCCAAUUUGCCAUGCCCACUUCCCCGGUCAGGCUUCGGCGCUAUGUUGAGGACCCCGUACGUAUUGCUCUCUGAAAAUGGAAAAGGCUUCAAUGCCGGCCGGCUAACCACCCGGUUGGAAACGUUGCGGCUCUGCUGCCGAAUCGACGGAGACGGGACGUAGAUCGCGUGAAGCUCAAAUUAUUGUACAGUUCGUAGGUUCACUUUGAGCAUGUCGGAGUAAAUGACCACGGGUAGCCUCAUCAGCCCCCCGAUGGUAUUCCAAGACAUCGGGGCUAGCUGCGCCCCUUACACCUCCUGGAUGAACGACUGGCUUCUUGGGCCGGCUGGUCUAAGAUGCCAGCUGCUGGAAGACGGCAAGACAUCAGAAGGUGGCCACGAGGGAGCCGACUACUAACAGGCGCCCCCUCAUCCCCUCAAAGUUUACACCCACUUAACCUCGACGAGACGGGGCGUGGCUACAGUGCGGCCUGCCACCCCCGAAUCCAGGGCGGAACGUGGCCACAGUGCGGGUGUACCAAGCGGACGCCCCGCACCCGGCGCGGCACCGUAGCCACGCAACCCACGACAUCACCUACGUCAGAGGGAGCCCUGCUCCCACGAUGGGCGGUCGGUACCACCCGCAGGCGGCGGGCCCUGCCUGUCUGCAGUGGCGGAGACAGGGGGACCAGCAGGGGCCAUGGCCCCCCCUAACAUCAAGGAUUUACUGCUAAUUUACUUACAAACAGUGUAGAAUUAGUGUGCAUUUGCAGGUAAGAGCCUAUUUUUUUCAAUGGUUUGGCCCUCCCAACCAAUUUUAACAUCCUUGACCCCACUAAUCCAUUUUUCCUGGCUUCGCCACUGCCUGUCUGUGAGCUACCAGAAGGCAGCGAACCCCAAGCAGGCGGCAACAAGGGCGUGCCGACUCUCAGCAGGCGGCCCUCCCUCCCCUUGAGGGAGUCCUGGACUAAGGGGUCCUCGGGCGUCCGGCCUAUUAGCCGUGGGCCGGACUGAUGGCCUGCGAAGAUGCGAAGACCGAAUACUGCACCCGUGUCCGGAUAGGACCCUCCUUGGCGUGGAAGGCAAGCUUGGCGAUCAAAUAUGUAGAUUCCUUUCUCUGUAACCGACCUUAUGUAACCCUAGAUCUCUCCGGUGUCUAUAUAAACCGGAGGGCUUAGUCCGGAGGAAGAUACUCAUUACCAUAGUCAUACAGGCUAGACUUUUAGGGUUUAGCCAUUAUGAUCUCGUGGUAGAUCAACUCUUGUAAUACUCAUAUUCAUCAAGAUCAAUCAAGCAGGAAGUAGGGUAUUACCUCCGUAGAGAGGGCCCGAACCUGGGUAAACAUUGUGUCCCCUGUCUCCUGUUACCAUCGACCUUAGACACACAGUUCGGGACCCCCUACCCGAGAUCCGCCGGUUUUGACACCGACAUUGGUGCUUUCAUUAAGAGUUCCACUAUGCCAUCCCCUAAAGGUUUGAUGGCCCCUUCAAUCAUCAACAACGACGCUGUCCAAGGAGAAACCUUCCUACCCGGACAGAUCUUCGUGUUCGGCGGCUUCGCACUGCGGGCCAACUCGCUUGGCCAUCUGGAGCAGAUCGAUAGCUACGCCUCUGGCCACCAGGUCAGAUUCGGAAGCUUGAACUACGUCGCGGACAUCCGUGGAGACUUGAUCCUCGCCGGAUCCGAGACCGCGGCGACCGCUCUCUGUCGCCCCGAUGAACAUGACCUAAAUCUGUCAUCGGACCACACUCAGGAGAUUGCUCCCAUAACUGCUCUGGCCUUAGAUCCGGAGCAGAUCGCGCCAUCUGAGGACGGGAAGCUCAACCCUGCCACGGGGGCCACCGAUUCCGCGGCUAUGGAGCCGCACAUAGACUUAACCUCACACGAUAUCUGUGUCACCGGAACUCCGGACUCGUCUCCGGCCAUAAGCUCCGAACCAUGUGCGUCCGCGGACGCCGAGCUUGAUCAGUUAUCGAUCUUCGAAUUCAGCGCCGCAGACAUCUUCCAGCACUCGCCCUUUGGCGAUGUGCUAAACUCAUUAAAGAACCUAUCCUUGGCGGGGGACUCACAACCGAACUAUGUCCGGUUCAAACUAGGGGCUGAUGAUGGAGAAUUUUGCUUCCCACCCGCCACCCACUUCAUAGCCACUGUCGAGGACUUAACCGAUAUGCUUGAUUACGGCUCUGAAGACAUCGACGGUAUGGAUGACGAUGCCGAUGAGGAGCAAAGCCAAAACCCGCCAUUUACUGGACGCUAGACGGCCACUUCUUCGUACGAUGUGUACAUGGUGGAUACACCCAAAGCAACCAACGACGAUGAGAAAGAAAAUCCAGUUGAGAAUAAACCUCCUGAGACACAACACAAACGCCGGCGUCCUCAGCGCCGCUCUAAGUCACGUCAUUCAAAAGACAACAAUACUGGCACCGGAGAAAAUAAUACUCCGGAUGAUGCCGAAAACAAUGAAGACCCUAUUGAGGUAACAUCCGAACAGGAGGAACAAGAAAACGGGCAAGUUAGCCCCGAUGAACAGGCCAUGCCCAACGACUCGGAGGACGGUAGUUAUCACCCGCUCUCCGAGGAUGAGGAAAGCCUCGGCAACGAGGAUUUCAUCGUGCCUGAGGAACCUCUCGAUCAGGAGCGCUUCAAGCACCAGCUAAUAGCCACCACAAGGAGCCUGAAAAAGAAGCAGCAGCAGCUUCAAGCUGACCAAGAUAUGCUCGUCGACAGGUGGACUGAUGUCUUAGCAGCCGAGGAAUACGGCCUCAGCCGCCCAACCAAGAGUUACCCGAAGCGCAAAUUGCUAUCUCAGUUCGAUGAAGAGGUGCCGGAGCCCAUACCUCCCUCGCGUAAUGCGGCCGAUCGACCACUACGCGGUCGGGACAGUGCGGUGGACCGACCACCACGCAGUCGGGACAGAGCGGCAACUAAGGCCGAACAGCAUCCCGCCCCACCGCCACGUAAAAAUAGAGACAAAACAGUUCGGGGUCAUACAUACAACCUUUGGCAGGACCUGGACAGUAGAGCAGGAUAUACCAGAUCGAUUUACGGAUCGCGAGGACGUUCCUUGACACGCGAUGAUGGCCACCUAUUCGGGCGUGAGAAACCUAGUCACGCCCGGGCCGACAACCGCAGACGGACUCCAUCGGAGCUACGUCGCGAUGUGGCCAGAUACGGAGGCGCCGCACACCCUCUUUGAUUCACUGAUGAAGUAAUGGAUCAUGAAUUCCCCGAAGGGUUCAAGCCCGUGAAUAUUGAAUCAUACGACAGGCCAACUGAUCCCGCGGUAUGGAUCGAGGACUUUAUCCUCCACAUCCACAUGGCCCGCGGAGAUGACCUCCACGCUAUCAAAUACCUCCCACUAAAGCUUAAAGGACUAGCUCAGCACUGGUUAAACAGCCUGCCUGAAAAUUCUAUCGGCAGCUGGGAGGACUUGGAAGAAGCCUUCCUCGACAACUUCCAAGGUACAUAUGUCCGGCCACCAGACGCCGAUGACUUAAGCCACAUAGUUCAACAGCCUGGAGAGUCAGCUAGGAAAUUCUGGACUAGGUUCCUAACUAAAAAGAACCAGAUCGUCGACUGUCCGGAUGCCGAAGCCCUAGCGGCCUUUAAACAUAGCAUCCGCGACGAAUGGCUCACCCACCACCUCGGCCAAGAAAAACCAAAAUCUAUGGCAGCCCUUAUGACACUCAUGACCCGCUUUUGCACGGGUGAGGAUAGUUGGCUGGCUCGUAGUAAAAACACAACCAGCAAGGCAGGCCCCUCCGAGGUCAAAAACAACAACGGCAAGCUCCGAUGCAACAGACACAAACGCCGAAGCAAUGGUGAUAAUACCGACGAUACUACAGUCAACGCCAGAUUCAGCGGCUCCAAGUCCAGCCAGUGGAAGAAACCGUACAAAAGAAACAAUCAGGGACCAUCCAGCCUGGACCGCAUACUCGAUCGUCUGUGCCAGCUACAUGGCACCCCAGACAAACCAGCCAAUCAUACCAACAGAGAUUGUUGGGUUUUCAAACAGGCCGGCAAAUUAAACGCCGAGAACAAGGAAAAGGGAUCGCAAAGCGAGGACGAUGACGAGGAGCCCCGGCAACCGAACACAGGGGGACAGAAGAAGUUUCCCCCUCAAGUCAAAACAGUGAACAUGAUAUAUGCUACACACAUCCCCAAAAGGGAGCACAAGCGCGCACUCAGGGACGUCUACGCGAUAGAGCCAGUCGCCCCAAAAUUCAAUCCAUGGUCGUCAUUCCCGAUCACCUUUGAUCGUCGGGAUCAUCCGACUAGUAUCCAUCAUGGCAGUUCAGCCACGCUAGUCCUCGACCCAAUCAUUGAUGGAUUUCACCUGACGCGCGUCCUUAUGGACGGGGGUAGCAGCCUCAAUCUGCUCUAUCAGGAUACAGUGUGCAAAAUGGGCAUUAAUCCAUCACGGAUCAAACCCACAAAGACUACCUUCAAAGGAGUCAUACCAGGUGUAGAGGCCCGCUGUACGGGUUCAAUCACACUAGAGGUUGUCUUCGGAUCUCCGGACAACUUCCGAAGCGAGGAGUUAAUCUUUGACAUCGUCCCCUUCCGCAGCGGCUAUCACGCACUGCUCGGACGGACCGCAUUCGCUCGAUUCAUUGCAGUGCCACACUAUGCUUAUGUCAAGCUCAAGAUGCCUGGUCCACGCGGCGUCAUAACGGUCAAUGGAAAUACGGAACGCUCCCUCCGUACAGAAGAGCACACAGCUGCCUUAGCAGCAGAAGUACAAAGCGGCCUUCUCAAGCAGAACCUUAAUUCGGCUGCCGAGCUCACGCACACCGUUAAGAGGGUCUGAACCACCCUGCAGCAGGACAACUCGGCUUGUCAGGAGCUCGACUAGCAAUUGGGCCUCUGUCUCAGUCCCGAUCAAGUGGUGGCAUUCGUACCGCACGUACAUAACUACGCACUCAAAAUUCCAUGGGCAUCGACGGAGGCAUAGCUAGCUUGUGAUCCACAGUACGGCUCAACCGGCACCGGAUACACACAUACUUUCACUUCUCCUCUUUUUCCUUUUUCAGGUUUCAAUCCCGCAGGGCCCAUCUGAUGGCCCGAUCAUCGGUCCUCUUGAAGGAUUAACACACCAAGACGGCAAGAAACACAGAUGUAUGGGGGACUUUCAAGGUGGUUUCAUUAACGAUCACUCUACCUGUUUUUCAGGACCCACAUGCAGCUCUCCCUUGGUUUUUGAGCAUGUUAAAUAGCCUAUUGCUAAUCGCACUACUUGUAUCAAUGCGCCUUGACGUAUUAAUCAAAUUACAAUGGAAACAGUUCGCGGGCCGAGCUUUAGGGCCCCAGCUUAUGACCUUUGCACCCUUUCUGUUUUCUUUUCUUUUUCCCCUCCUGUGGGUUACCUUAUCAGGUAGCACUCGUACACUAUGGUGCGUUUCAUAUUUGCCAGGGGCUUCAUAGCACCCCGCACUACGGCAACAAAAGUCCAAACACUUUUUAUAGUAUAGUUCGGCACCCUGAAUUUAGCACUAUAUGCAUUGGCUCCGAAUCAUGUAUUUGGUCAAUAGUUGGGUUGCCCGGCUCCUGUGCUUGCUACCUUACGUUCCGCUAUAUCGGCUAAGGUAAUAAAGGGAGAACUACUGCGAUCGUGCCUUGGUUUAUCCAAAGGAGCACCUCAGUAGAGAAAGCCGAAAACUGACUGUCAUGAUGCGGCGAGAGCCGGUCAGCUCUUCGGAGGUUGCAAAUCGUUGGAGAUUUCUUCCGCAUUACGCGAAGGAUCGGUACUUCCCGAUCAGGCGCUUAUAGAACUCUAGUUCGGAUACUAGGGGAUGCGCCAACAUUUUUAUUGUCAAACUCCUAUGGCUAAGUGAGGGCGUUAAAGCCGCAUAGUCUGAUUGCCUGGUUCAUUGCGCUAAACAACUCCUUCAAGGACCAUAUAAUUGGAUCAAGAGUGUUUAGAUUCCAUCCCGAACACCUCCGUACUACCUACGUGGGGGCAGAAGCCGACGACUGGCCAACCCUCAGAUUUCAUACAACACGGCCGCACAGGAGGUAAAAUUUUCAAAACAUAACAAACAUUAUAUUACAUACCCACUUUGUUUUAUCAUACAAGGCAGAUGCAGCUCGGAUGCAUUCAUUCAAAGAUAAUGUCUUGCGAACACUGCGUCGCUACAAUACGAGACCCCUCCAGGACGUCUCCAAAAUACCGCUCAGGUGUGCGGUGCUCCUUUCCCUCGGGUGGCCCCUCGGUCACAAUCUUGAUGGCGUCCAUCUUCACCCACCAGACCUUGACGCGGGCAAAGGCCAUACGCCCUCGAUGCAGACGGACUGCUUGACGACGUCCAGCCGAGGACAGGCAUCCACCAGCCGCUUCACGAGGCCGAAGUAACUGCUGGGUAUAGAUUCGGCUGGCCACAGCCAGACUAUUAAAUCCUUCAUGGCCAGUUCGGCCACCCUGUGCAGCUCGAUGAGCUGUUUUAGCUGAUCGUUGAAGGGCACUGAAUGUUCUGGCGCAAGAUAUUGCGACCAGAACAACUUCUCCAUGGAGCUCCCUUCUUCGGCUCGGAAGAACUCCAUGGCGUUGGACACACUACGUGGCAGAUGAGCAAAAGCCCCUAGAGAACUCCGAAUCCGGGUUAGUAAAAGAUACUUCCUCUUCACAUACUUGCUUUGCAUACUAAAUGCCUUACCCGCCGCGAUCUUCCUGGCCUCCUGGAGGGUGCCCUGGGCCUCAUUCCGGGCCGUCUCCGUGCUCUGACGAGCCUUGGCGGGUUCCAUCUCUUUAGCCGAUGCAUCACACUCCAAGGUCUCGCACUUCCUCACCGCGUCCUGGAGCUCUUGCUGGACCUCGUUGAACCGGGCCUUGAGCUUCUUACGGGCGGCCUGCUCCUUGAUAGCCUUCCCCUCGGCUUCGGCCAGGGCCUUUUUUAGGGCCUUGAUCUCGGUCGUCGCUCCUAUACAUAUCAUGACACUUCGGUCAAUAUAUAUCAUUUUACUCUUUUCGAAUAUAUAACAGGUUAUUACAAACCUUGCUUCUCCUGGAGCUGCCUCCUCACCCGGCCGAGCUCCUCCUCGACCUGCUCCAGUCUCUGCCUCAGUCCGAAGACUUCGGCAGUAUGCGAGGCCGCGGCCAGCAGCGACGCCUGCGUAUUCAUUUCAGACAUAUUUAGUUAGUUUCCUGCAACAAGGGAUUGAUCCUCUGUCCGGCUUUUCUUUCCGAACACCGGACAGUGUCUCAGGGGCUACUGUCUGUAUUGGGAUCUUCUCUUUUUGCGUCGCUUACCUCAAAACCUGUCAGCAGGCUAUUGCAGGCUUCGGUUAGUCCGCUCUUGGCAGACUGAACCCUUUCAAUUACCGUGCCCAUAAGAACACGGUGCUCAUCAACAAUGGAAGCGCCUCGCAGCGCUUCCAGCAGAUUAUCCGGUGCCCCUAGUUGGACAGGGGUCACCGGCGGAAUAGGCAUCCCCCUUAUUUCGAAGGAGGUUGCAUGCCGGAUUCCGGAGCCGUAUCGGUCUCCGGAAUUGAGUUUGGCUGAGGGCCGAACUGAAUACGGCCCUCAUCACCAGUCUCCAUGGGGAUUGGCUCCCCCUGGUGUCCGGCGACGGAGGUUUCGCUUUCUGGCACCUACUGAACCUCUCCCGACCUGGGAAAGUCUUCCGGGACAGCACCUCGGCGUCUCCCUUGGCCUUGGGGGAGUGAGCGGUCGGCGGUGACUCGCUGGCCAUCGCCUUUGAAUCCAACUAACCUCUUGACGAGGAUCGCUGGGAGCUGUCGUGGGCCGGACUGCAAUAGCAUAAUUAACCAUUCAAUACAAUGAAGAGGAGAGGCUGGAUUUAUGGGUAUGUAUGAGUCUUAGCACUUAUGAUGCAGCCCGAGGCUUAGUGCGGGGGCGUCACUCCGGACUGCUGUCGACAUCCCACGCGGAGUUAUCCGCAAGGGAGCCCUUCCCCUUCUUGGACGUCUCCGCCUCCAGAUUCGUGGAGGCCGCCCUCUUCUUCUUUCCCUCAUCAGGGGGAGGGUUGUUCUCCUCCUCCUCCUCAUCGUCGUCCUCAGCGGCGGAGGAAAGGGUCACUUCGUCUUCGGACGUCACGUCCGAAGCACCCUUGUGACGGGGCCACCUUUGGCCCCCUUGGCCUUCUUCUUGGCCUUCUUUUCCGGCGGACGAUAGGGCGCCGGAACCAGCAUCUUCUCCAGGAGCGGGAUGACUGGCUCUUCGGGCAGUGGAGCCGAACUCUGGAUCCGCUCCGCUCUCUCCGUCCACACCUAAAAAAAUACAGCAAAGAUUAGGCAUCCUCCUUGAAUAGACAAGUGGAAGGUACACCUUGAGAAAAGGAGAACUUACCGCAUUGGCGGGAUGGGAGUGAUCGUGCCCACAGUCCGAAUCUAUGACCGGCGGCUUCUCGUUGCCCUUGAAAAGCAACUUCCAGGCAUCUUCGUGAGUAGUUCCGAAGAGCCCUCCCAGGGUCUGGUGCUUCUCCGGAUCGAAUUCCCAUAAAGGAAAGCUUCGGCUUUGGCAAGGGAGAAUCCGGCGAACGAGCAUCACCUGGAUCACGUUGACGAGCUUGAUGUUUUAUCCACCAUACUCUGAAUGCGCCUUUGCAGCGCUAUCAGCUCGUCUGACGCCGACCAGUUGGGGCCCUUCUUCGUCCAGGAGGUGAGCCACAUUGGAGCUCCGGCCUUAAAUUUGGGAGCCGCCGUCCAAGUGGCGCCGCGUGGCUCUGUGAUGUAGAACCACUGCUUCUGCCACUCCUUGACAGUCUCCACAAAAGUGCCUGUGGGCCAAGUGACGUUGGGCUACUUGCUCACCAUGGCGCCUCCGCACUCCACGUGCUGACCAUCCACCACCUUCGGCUUCAUGUUGAAGACCUUGAGCCAUAGGCCGAAGUGGGGUUGGAUGAGGAGGAAGGCCUCGCACACGACAAUGAAUGGCGAGAUGUUGAGGAAGGAGUUCGGGGCUAGAUCAUGGAAAUCUAGCCCGUAAUAGUACAUUAGUCCGCGGACGAAAGGGUGAAGUGGAAACCCCAAUCCGUGGAGGAAGUGAGGGAGGAAAACUACCCUCUCAGUAGGCUUCGGGGUGGGGAUGACUUGCCCCUUGGUAGGCAGACGGUGGGCGAUUCCUUUCACCAGAUACCCGGCCGCCCGAAGCUGGGUGUUGUCCUUCUCCUUGACAGAGGAGACCAUCCACUUGCCUUGGCCUCCGGAUCCGGACAUGAUUGAGUGCUUCCUUGAGGAGGAGAAGAUGGGAACUUGGGCGCUGGAGCUCGAGAAUGGAAGGACAGAGAGGAAGAGAAGGCGUGGGUGAAGAAAGGGAAUCCUUAUCUCCUUAUAAAGGCAGUGAAUAUUGAACGCCUCCCCACUCGCCUUAAAACUCGCCUGUUCCCAAGGGCCGUGUAAACAGCACGGUUGGGUUAACCACGCCCGUAUUGAUGAGAAGCCCGCAAUAAGGGGACACGAUCUCUGCUUCGACAAGACGUGCCAAUGGAAAACGCGUCUCGAAACGUGGAGCGGCAGAUGAAAAACGGUUCGAAAUUGUGACCGAUCGGGCGUGAUGUCAUGUUGCGAAAAGUUGUCAGCGGAUUGGACUCGUGGAAUAUUAUAUUCUCUGCGGUUGAGUGUGGUGUGUGUGUUACAGGUCUGGACACGAUCAUUAUGUCCGAAGGCUAUCUUGGAGUUCGGAAGGAGAAACCCACCUUGCAAUGCCGAAGACAGAUCUGCGCGUCGGAUACCUCGUCAUUGAAGCCAGGUUCAGGGGCUACUGAGGGAGGCCUAGACUAAGGGGUCCUCGGGCGUCCAGCCUGUUAGCCGUGGGCCGGACUGAUGGGCUGCGAAGAUGUGAAGACCGAAGACUGCACCCGUGUCCGGAUAGGACUCUCCUUGGCGAUCAAAUAUGUAGAUUCAUUUGUCUGUAACCGAUCUUAUGUAACCCUAGAUCUCUCCGGUGUCUAUAUAAACCGGAGGUCUUAGCCCGGAGGAAGAUACUCAUUACCAUAGUCAUACAGGCUAGACUUUUAGGGUUUAUCCAUUACGAUCUCGUGGUAGAUCAACUCUUGUAAUACUCAUAUACAUCAAGAUCAAUCAAGCAAAAAGUAGGGUAUUACCUCCGUAGAGAGGGCCCGAACUUGGGUAAACAUUGUGUCCCCUGUCUCCUGUUACCAUCGACCUUGGACGCCCAGUUCGGGACCCCCUACCCGAGAUACGCCGGUUUUGACACCGACACCUCUCGCUCACUCCCGCUUUUAGAGCCCGGCGGCGUACUCUUGUCCCCAUCCAUGAUAAGCAACCCCCUGGCAUAUGUCGCUAGAUAUCCCCGACAGAGCAUCUGCCGCCAGGCGCCCCAAAAAGGUCUUCAACACCCGGGAGGCCCGUCUGGUCACUGACCGGUAACGGUUUUUAUCCAGACGAACGCCUUAAAAUAGUCUCAAACAUCCGGACUGACCGACACCUCAACCCGGCAAUCCGACCCAUGGGUAGCGUCGCCCGUGGGCACCCGACCCUAAAGGUGCCGACGACGAGAACUUGCGUGGUUCUACUAUUGGUUCGAUAACCUUGAUUCUCAUUGAGGGAAACACUUAUCUGCUACUAUAUUGCUUCACCAUUCCUCUUCGGAGAAAAUCCCAACGCAGCUCACAAGUAGCAUUGAGUAAGGGAAAUUUCAGUUUGUUGGAAGGUCUUGAUGUCCCGACGAUGUAUUGAUGUGUGUUUUGUAAGCAAUAUGGGUUCACACAAUAUUAGGUGAUUUCAUCUUGGUGGUUCUCAACAAUAAUUAAUGUGUAGCCACAUUUAAUCGAGCUAAGCAUGUUGUCAGCUUAAUUUGCAGAAAUGUGUUUCACAUUUUUCCUGUUUUAUAUUGACGCGUUAUAUAGCAAAAUAAAUAGAACUUCAUUUUUUUCCAAUAGUCAUGAUGUCUCCGCCACAUUGUAGAUUUUGGACUUUGUUAUGUUUAAUUUAUUAGAACUCGGAAGUUGAGAGACUUACUUUGAUAGUGUUGGUCCUAUUGCACGGUGACAUUCAUAAAUAAGAUUUUGUGCCUAUUAUGUUAUUGUAUCCACAAAUACGAUCUAUUCCAGGCUAUGUUUGUUAAUUUUAUCAUGUUUGGUGCUUUGUUGAGAUAUGAUUUGACGUUUGUUGUCUUUUCAUUUUAGUUUCAGGAAUUGAUGCUAGAUUUUUACCGUAUCGACACGAUUAUAGUCUUUACUUCUAGUUCUGAUGGUCGGUUUCCCUAGGUUUCAUGUCGGCUCAAAUCUACUAAACUACUAUUAUGUGACUAUUUCCCUAUAGGUGUUACUAGUGUUUUUUAUCGCUUUGUUGUGUUUGCUUUCAAAUGACCAAUGAGAAACACUAAUGUAUCCUUAUCUUAUGUUUUAGCUGUGGAAUGUAUUCUUUUGUCAGUAGUUUUUCCUCCAUACACUUAAAAGAUAGUGUUUCUUCCAUUUUUGUGCAUUAUGAGGAGUUCAUGAGAUUUCUGUUUGGGCUCUUGGGAUUAGAACCAAUAUUCUUAGUGGACCCAUGAUUUACAAGAAAAAUACUUGUUAGAGAUCUGAGUGGNNNNNNNNNNNNNNNNNNNNNNNNNNNNNNNNNNNNNNNNNNNNNNNNNNNNNNNNNNNNNNNNNNNNNNNNNNNNNNNNNNNNNNNNNNNNNNNNNNNNNNNNNNNNNNNNNNNNNNNNNNNNNNNNNNNNNNNNNNNNNNNNNNNNNNNNNNNNNNNNNNNNNNNNNNNNNNNNNNNNNNNNNNNNNNNNNNNNNNNNNNNNNNNNNNNNNNNNNNNNNNNNNNNNNNNNNNNNNNNNNNNNNNNNNNNNNNNNNNNNNNNNNNNNNNNNNNNNNNNNNNNNNNNNNNNNNNNNNNNNNNNNNNNNNNNNNNNNNNNNNNNNNNNNNNNNNNNNNNNNNNNNNNNNNNNNNNNNNNNNNNNNNNNNNNNNNNNNNNNNNNNNNNNNNNNNUGAGACGAAGAUGCUCAUCGGUGCCUGAAUGAUAUGUCUCCAACGUAUCUAUAAUUUUUGAUUGUUCCAUGUUGUUAUAUUAUCAAUCUUGGAUGUUUUACAAUCAUUUAUAGUCAUUUCAUAUCAUAUUUUGGUACUAACCUAUUGACGUAGUGCCAAGUGCCAGUUGCUGUUUUUUCCAAGUUUUUUACAUCACAGAAAAUAAAUAUCAGACAGAGUCCAAAUGCCACGAAACUUUACGGAGAAUUUUUAUGGGCUAGAAGGUACACAACGGGCCCUGGUGCCACCUAGGGGGUGCCCCGAGGGGGGCAAAACCCACCAGGGCGCGCCAGGAGGCCCAGACGCGCCAUGGUGGGUUGUGCCCACCUUGGGUGCCCCCCGGAUCGCCUCUUUGCUCUAUAAAUAUCCCAAUAUUCCAGAAACCCUAGGGAAGUCGACGAAAUAUUCAUCCAGCCACCGCAGAGUCCAGAACCACCAGAUCCAAUCUAGAGACCAUCUCGGAUGGGGUUCACCACGUCCAUUGGUGCCUCUCCGAUGAUGCGUGAGUAGUUCUUUGUAGACCUUCGGGGUCCGUAGUUAGUAGCUAGAUGGCUUUCUCUCUCUCGCUGGAUUCUCAAUACAAUGGUCUCUUGGAGAUCCAUAUGAUGUAACUCUUUUUGCGGUGUGUCUGUUGGGAUCUGAUGAACUUCGAGUUUAUGAUCAGUUAUAUAUUUUUAUAUCCAUGAAAGUUAUUUGAGUUUUUUGAUCUCUUAUAUGCACGAUUGCUUAUAGCCUCAUAUUUCUUCUCUGAUAUUUGGGUUUUGUUUGGCCAACUUGAUCUAUUUAUCUUGCAAUGGGAAGAGGUGCCCGGUUGUGGGUUCGAUCUUGCGGUGCUUGAUCCCAGUGAUUGAAAGGGAAACGAUACGUAUGUAUCGUUGCUACUAAGGAUAAAACGAAGGGGUCUAUCUCUACAUAGAUAGUUCUUGUCUAGAUCAUGUCAUCGUUCUUAUUGCAUUACUCCGUUUCUCCAUGAACUUAAUACACUAGAUGCAUGCUGGAUAGCGGUCAAUGUGUGGAGUAAUAGUAGUAGAUGCAGGCAGGAGUCAGUCUACUAAUCUUGGAUGUGAUGCCUAUAUAAUGAUCAUUGCCUGGAUAUCGUCAUAAUUAUUUGAAGUUCUAUCAAUUUCCCAAGAGUAAUUUGUUCACCCACCAUUUGCUAUUUUUCUCAAGAGAAGCCACUAGUGAAACCUUCGGCCCCCGGGUCUUCUUUCUCAUAUAUUUGCCUUCGCGAUCUACUUUUUCCUUGCAUUUAUUUUCAUAUCUAUUAAACUAAAAAUACAAAAAUACCUUGCCGCAUUUUUUCCUUAUUUAUUUUAUGUGGCGUUCGAUCUAUCAAUUUACUACAAAACUUUAUCCCGUCUGCGCACCAUUUCUGGCACCGUUACCAGAAAGGGAUUGACAACCCCUUUAACACGUCGGGUUGCGAGUGGUUGUUAUUUGUGUGCAGGGGCUGUUUACGUUGUGUUGCUUGAUUCUCCUACUGGUUCGAUAACCUUGUUUUCAUAUAUGAGGGAAAUACCUACCACCGCUGUGCUGCAUCAACCCUUCCUCUUUGGGGAAAUACCGACGUAGCUUCAAGUGACAUCAAAAGGAAUUUCUGGCGCCAUUGCCGGGGAGGAUCUUCAACAUAUACCAGGUUCCUAAUCACAAAUCUCAUCUCCUAGCAAUUUACAUUAUUUGCCAUUUGCCUCUCGUUUUCCUCUCCCCCACUUCACAAAAAUUUGUUGUUUUAUUCGCCUCUCUUUUUCUUUCACCAUUUUCUUGUCAGAUCUAUCCUUUCAUGCAAUCAUGAGUGAUUUUGGUAUAGCACCAAUAGAUGAUGGCACUACAAAAAAAA